GACGAACGCUGGCGGCGUGCUUAACACAUGCCAGUCGAACGGAAAGGCCCUGCUUUUGUGGGGUGCUCGAGUGGCGAACGGGUGAGUAACACGUGAGUAACCUGCCCUUGACUUUUGGAUAACUUCAGGAAACUGGGGCUAAUACCGGAUAGGAGCUCCUGCUGCAUGGUGGGGGUUGGAAAGUUUCGGCGGUUGGGGAUGGACUCGCGGCUUAUCAGCUUGUUGGUGGGGUAGUGGCUUACCAAGGCUUUGACGGGUAGCCGGCCUGAGAGGGUGACCGGCCACAUUGGGACUGAGAUACGGCCCAGACUCCUACGGGAGGCAGCAGUGGGGAAUAUUGCACAAUGGGCGGAAGCCUGAUGCAGCAACGCCGCGUGCGGGAUGACGGCCUUCGGGUUGUAAACCGCUUUCGCCUGUGACGAAGCGUGAGUGACGGUAAUGGGUAAAGAAGCACCGGCUAACUACGUG
Molecule: ribosomal RNA, 468 nt
Filed under: uncultured bacterium
Lineage: Bacteria
Description: partial 16S ribosomal RNA
Rfam family: Bacterial small subunit ribosomal RNA
Source: RNAcentral